This is a non-coding RNA of Xyrichtys novacula (pearly razorfish), 7538 nucleotides long. The record is from the annotation of a GenBank genome assembly. Lineage: Eukaryota; Metazoa; Chordata; Actinopteri; Labriformes; Labridae.
GCAAUUCAAGAUUAAGCCUUUGAUUGAUUUUUCUUUAAUUUCGCGAAGCCAUUUUUGAAAGUUUUCUCUGCUCGAGUCUCGUUUUCUGAGUUAUCUGCGUGAUUUCAAGUCACCUCUGAACGCAACCCAGCAGGCCCAGGUCAUCCUCUGUGCCAGAGUUUUUAAGUGAGACCAAAGAAGUACCCAAACGAGCAUCCACAGGAUCCACAGGCGCUGGCUUUGCUUCGGGCCCGAGUGCUGCAACUCCUGGCUCAUCCUUCGGCUGACUUCAGUCGUCUUCUGAGCUGAACCGCUCGAACCGCCAGUAGCCCCGGACCUUCGGAACCUGCUCCAUCUUCUCCAAGGACCAGUCUCACUUAAGUAUGCAAACCUCCAGAGCUCCAGACAGGGCUGAUGCUGUCUCACGCGUUCAUAACUCAGAUAUCCACCUAUUUCUGGUGAUCUUAGAUUCCUCCAAAUCUACACCCGAGUUUAUCUCGACACCAAAGUUAGUGUAGGUUAAUAUGUUAGCGCAUAUUCACUCACUAUCAUUAACUUUAGUGCUCCUAGCCUGACUCAGAAUCUUUAUUUAUUCACCUAUUAUUAUUUUAUCCUCAUUAUCUUAUCAUCAUUUAUUGCAUGUGUGUUGUACCAUCAUUUAUCCUGUAAUAAACAGAUCAUUAUUUUUCUAAGUUCCUGUCUGUUAGUGUUCUUCCAGAAGUGGAGUCCCUGAAAUUAGAAUUUCGACUUAAGAUAUGAGACUGAUUAAUUAAGACUGAUUAAUUAAGGCUGAUUAAUUAAGACUGAUUAAUUAAAACUGACUUGAUGUUUGAUUUCUGAAUUAAACUUUUGUUUUCUUUAUUUUCCCACCAUUAAGGGUGGGUGGUGCCCCUUUCAACGAGUGCAUAAAUGUCAUAAUUUGAGAUUAUUAAUCUUCAGACAUUUAUUAUAAAUUCCAAUCGCCAAGUAUUAUUUUGGUGCGGCCUUGUGAGGCUCAUUUCAAAUCGCUACAUAUAUUUUGGUGCGACCGUGUGAGGCUCAUUUCAAAUCACUACAUAUAUUUUGGUGCCCCUGCGUGAGGCGUUUCAAACAAAACUUCUGGAUACUAACAGACAACCUAAAACUUAGCCUUCCAAAUUGAUGAGAGAAACUUAUUCCCAGGCUAUCCUAGACUUAAUCACAAUAAAUGCUAUGCUUGCUGAAGUUGCUUGACUAAGUUCUGAUGUUUUCCUGAUCUAUGCAUAAAACCUUUAUGCUCUGUGUUUCACACACUUUUGUACUACAUGCCUGUAGUCUGUGUUUGAGCUGGACAGCGUGAAAUGUUGUUCUGAGUAGCAGUGAGACUGCUUCUUCUGCUCUGUCUAGACUGUCCAAUAUUUAAGUGCACGAUUGUUGCGUCGCCGUACGCUUGUAUUUAAGGCCUUUGGCUGAACCCAGUGUUCGCGAUGCUCCGAGCUGUGGUUUCAAGCCCCUGAAGUCUCUGUAGUCUGCUACGAGGUUCUAGUAACUAUAUGGGAUUCAGAUUUCCUCCUUUCCCCUGACAGAUUAGCUACCUGUCACAGGAAACCACUGUAACAGUGGGAGGUUGUUGUUUGAUUGAAUUCAGACAAAAUGUGUGUUCACAAAUCGCCGCAUUUGUGAUUUUAAAGUCUGCAGUUGAAUCUGCUGUUGAGGGAUUUGUCACUUUGAUUCUUGUCUCUAUAGUCUGCUACGAAGUUCUAGUAACUAUAUGGGAUUCAGAUUUCCUCCUUUCCCCUGACAGAUUAACUACCUGUCACAGGAAACCACUGUAACAGUGGGAGGUUGUUGUUUGAUUGAAUUAAGACAAAAUUUGUGAUCACAAAUCGCCGCAUUUGUGAUUUUAAAGUCUGCAGUUGAAUCUGCUGUUUAAGAAUUUGUCACUUUGAUUCUUGUUCCUGUAAAUGAUUUUAUUGAACCAAUCUGCCUGAGCAGAUGGUGUAAAGUUCUAUGUUUGAGGGUGCAGACACAGCUGCUGUGAAAUGUUAACCCUUUGUUGUCAGUGGAGAGAUUGACCAUUUGGCCUUAAGUAGAUAAGGCCCUUCAAGGAGGCAGAGCCUAAAGGCCCCUUCCUGCACACUUCCCAACUCCUCACAGCCACAAGAGGCUAGUUGGAUGACUGUUUCCUCUUUUCUUCUUCUUCUCCACUUGUGUUGAGCUUGUGCAGUUACCCCAACUCCAUACUGCCCCACAUGGUUGCUUUUGGUAUUGAGCUAACAAUGUUAUCUGCCUGCAGUAUCAGCCAGCUGUACUGCCUCCCUGUAGUCAGUGUGUAACACUCUACAGACAUAACUCAAGUGAUUGACUUGGUUGAUGAAGUUUGAUGUGCUUAUUCUAAAUCAUUGAUCAUUGAUUUUGAUUUUUAUCUUUGUUAUAAGAGCCUCCAUGAUGUAUUGAUAAAGUAACUCAUUGAAUCAAUCACCUGAUCUUGUUGUUACUUAUCACACCAGUGAGCAGUUUUACUGUUCCCUAUAAUACAUGAAUGUAUUAACCCUCCUCAUAAGAUUAAUUAAUUAAUGAACAAAUUAAUUAAUAUUUGAAAUUUAUUUUACCAUUUCAGAUGAAUUGGGUAGUUGAAUCUUUAGCUUUAUUGCGAUUGGUGAAUUAAUUUCAGAGUUAAUUCCUUAAAUUGACAAUUUCAUCGAUUUUUCCCAAUUCAUCCAACUGCACCAGGCAGUUCAUUUAAGCUUUGCUGAUCUCUGCAACACGGAGACAAAUUGAACCCUUUAUUCAAUGGUUCUGUAUCUGAUGUUAAAUUUAAUUUAACAUUAUUUCACCUUGUUUUUCUUUCAAUUUUCAUUGAAAUGAAGUUAACUUUAUGUUAUUUUUCUCUCCAUUAGAUAUCUACUCAGAUAGGCUCUUCCUCUUUAUCAAGCACUGAUAAAUUAAGUCGAUUAACCCACUUAAUUUGAUAUUGUGCUUCUUCCUUUCAUUUUAAGUCAACUCAAACUCAUCAACCAACCAGCUGCACCUCUUUACCAAAACCAAACAUGCCUAACACAAAAGAGUCCAGCCAGGGAGACCCCCUGAGGGACAUACCCACAGUGUUAGCAAACUUAAUGAGUCAGCUGAUACCUCAGUACAUGACUAAGAUUCAAAAGGCCAAACCCUCCAAUCCGGAGGAUGAAAUGGCUGACUUACUGGAAACAGCCUUAACCACGAUACUUCGUGACAAAGAGCUCACUAGAUGCAUGUCUGUCAUGAUGUCUUCUCAGCUUGAGUAUAAAGACUACUUGCUGGAAUGCGCUUUAGCAAAGAUAAAGGCGCAAAAAGACGAAAACAGCGCUCUGAAAAAGACGCUAGAAGAGACUAAGAAGUCUCUAAGUGUUUUAGGAAAACACAGUGUCAGAUGUGAAGCGUCAAAGCUUCCCUCACUGAUAAGUCAUGAAGAAAAUCUUGAUCUUAAAGACAAGAUUGAAGGACUUAAUGAAACCCUUUACAAAAAGGAGAAAGAACUUGAUGACACGAAUAAGCAGCUUGCUAAGACCACAGAGGAUCUGAUACAGUCAGAAUCCCUACUAGAGCAAGCAACAGAAGAUGCAAAAACUUUGAAAGCACUGGUCAAAGUGCGUGCUGAAGCUCUUGAAGUUAAGGAGAAGCAAACUUCUACCUUACAGCACCAGCUCCAGAUAGCUCAAAGACAGUUAAUUCUUUGUCAAGAACGGCAAGAAAAGACAGAUAAAGAACUUGAAGAUGCCCAAAGAGAGUUACGAUGCUCCCUCCAGUCAGGUCGAGCCCAAAGAGAACGCAUGAAGCAAACUUUUCUCGAAGAAAUGAUAUAUGAUCAGCCUCCUGAGAGAGCGCCAUCACUUCCUUCCAAACCAACUCUUAAGUAUCUCUCUCAGCAUCAUGACAGGACCCUGCUUGACCCUGAGAGGUCAUCCUUAAGCCAAAAGUCCUACUCUCCUCCUCAUGAUGGUUUCUUACCAUUUCCCUCAGAUAGGGAUCUUGACAAAAUUGCUCGCAACAUAGCACGCUUUGAACCUGAGCACCAAGGUGCUACUGACACCUGCACCUACUUGAAAGACAUUGACUUUUACCUGAGGAAAUUUCCAGGUGCAACCAUUGAUGACAAGAUCUACCUUAUUAAGGCAACGUCAAGUCGAGAGGUUAGCAGUUUCCUUGAACGACAGCCUUAUCAUGUCAGAAAUAAUUAUGACUUGCUCUGCCAAGCAUUAAUUGAAGAGUUUUCUGAUCAUUUGACCCAGACAGGCCUUUCUGCUGCUCUGUCUAUUAAACAAGGGAGAUCAGAACCUCCCCAACAUUAUUACAACCGCUUACGCGAAGCUUACUUUGGUUUCCGAAAUGAACCAGAAAUGGAGGAGGACUUGAACUUCAAAACGCUGUUCGUCCAGAACCUCCACCCUACCACCAGUCAUCACCUUGGCGUCUUAGCUUGUCCAAACACUUUGACUAGCCGACAGCUUCGUGAACUUGCUGUAAAAGGUUUUGCCAAACAACGACAAACUUUGGCUAAGAAAGCAGAGCCUGUUACUCUGUUGGCUAUGGAGACAAAAUCACUGCCCAUGGAGCUGAACGAAGCUUCAGAUUGUGUAUUUUCAGGCUCCGAUAAGCCUCCAAAUGAGUGGUUAACCAGGCCUCCAAAACCUUUUCGACCUCAACAAACUCACAAAGGUCAAAGUUACAUACCAAGGCCCAGGUCUGACACAGACCAAUGCCAGGUAAACUUUGAGACCAACUGUUGUUAUUCAGACUCCAGUCAUGGUGGGUUUUAUCCCAGACAAAGGAAAAACCAUCAACACCGCCAAAGGGGGGUGAAUGACUGGCAGAAUCAGAGUAAAUUACACUCUCAGAAACAACGAUCUUAUUAUCCACCUCAAUCGGUUUCAUCCACUUUGAAGGUGAAUAAACAUGACUACUCAGUUAACCACUGAGAUUAACACUGUGGAGUCAUGAAGGUGUGAGUCCUGCGAAAGCAGAAGUCACCUAGCCAAAGCUAAAUGACUCCAAUAAGAUAUCCAAAUGCUGUGGUGAUACAUUGAUGACUGCAAUACCAGUUGCUGCUUUCUUUGUUAGGGCCCGAGCGUAGCUGCUAAGCAGCUGCGAGAGCCCUAUUAUUCCCCAAGUGGUUUUUCUUUGUUUCUUUUUUCUUUUUCCUCCCCUUUGAACUGGAAAAUGGCCCACUUCCCACUGGCGAAAACUCAUGAAAUUUGGCAGGACGACCGGGCCUGGUGAAAAAUUUGAUAUUCCGAAGUCGCCCAAACAAGAAAAUGCAAAAUGGCUCCAUAGCGCCCCCUAAGGUGAAAAUUCACACUAUUGACUGUCACGCCUGUACGCUUUGUCAAAAUGACACAAAAAUUGACACACACAUGUAUCUCAAUAAGAUCUACAAAAAAGUCAGUGCGGGCGUAUCUGUCAAAUGUACGGUUAAAGGGCUAUUUCGCAUUUUUUGCCGAUCCGCACACAUUGGAAUUUCGCUAACUCCUCCGAAGGCUUUCGUUCCACCGGCACCACAUUUGCUCAGGCCAAUCUACACCCCAUGGCCAUUAAAAGUUAUUCAAAUCAUGACGCUGCACCCCACGGUUUAGGUUCUAGGGGGCGCCAAAGAUAACCCUAAAAUCCACAUAUUUAAAAGUCUUAUAACUUUUUAUUUUUGCCCUCACUGGCCUCCAAGUUUUCUAGGAUGAUGCAAUGUCCAGCCAUCAACACAUUUGUGAAGGAAUUUUUACUCCCCAAAAGAGCGCCCCCCCAUGGCAGGAGAAAAAAGUCCAUUUUUUCUUGUCCCCUAAGGUGAAAAUUCACACUAUUGACUGUCACGCCUGUACGCUUUGUCAAAAUGACACAAAAAUUGACACACACAUGUAUCUCAAUAAGAUCUACAAAAAAGUCCAUGCGCGCGUAUCUGUCUAAUGUACGGUUAAAGGGUUAUUUCGCAUUUUUUGCCGAUCCGCACACAUUGGAAUUUCGCUAACUCCUCCGAAGGCUUUCGUUCCACCGGCACCACAUUUGCUCAGGCCAAUCUACACCCCAUGGCCAUUAAAAGUUAUUCAAAUCAUGACGCUGCACCCCACGGUUUAGGUUCUAGGGGGCGCCAAAGAUAACCCAAAAAUCCACAUUUUUAAAAGUCUUAUAACUUUUUAUUUUUGUCCUCACUGGCCUCCAAGUUUUCUAGGAUGAUGCAAUGUCCAGCCAUCAACACAUUUGUGAAGGAAUUUUUACUCCCUAAAAGAGCGCCCCCCCAUGGCAGGAGAAAAAAGUCCAUUUUUUCUUGUCCCCUAAGGUGAAAAUACACAUUGUUGACUGUCACGCCUAUACGCUUUGGCAAAAUGACACAAAAAUUGACAAUCAUGUGUAUCUCAAUUAGAUCUACGAAAAAGUCAAAGAGCGCGUAUCUGUAUAAUGUACGGUAAAAGGGCUAUUUUGCAUUUUUUGCUGAUUCGCACACAUUGGAAUUUCGCUAACUCCUCCUAAGGCUUUCGUCCCACUGACACCAAAUUUGCUCAGGCCAAUCUACACUCCAUGGCCAUUCAAAGUUGUAAAAAUCAUGACGCUGCACCCCACGGUUUACGUUUUAGGGGGCGCCAAAGAUGACCCAAAUAUACAUUACAGUAGACAAAGUAGUUUUGCCCACUGAGUGGCGCCAAAGGGACUUGUCUGUGGAGUCUGUGAGUCACUAUUGGCAGUUUUUGACUACUUUAGAUUUUACCUUUAUAUUUCCUCUUACAAAAUUUUUACCUUGCCUUGCCUGGUAUCAUUUUUUUCAGCACAACCUCACCUGUGUCAAUUUACAGUUAUUUUAUCAUUUUGACAUACUAUAUUUACACAUUGGACCCAAAUUCACACACAAAACAUAAAAUCCGAGUGGAAAAAAGUAACGUUUUUACUGUGAAAACCACAAAUAUGUGUGAUGAACUGUUUUUAAAACUUAAACUUCAAAUAAAAAUUGUAAACUUCAAAACAUAUGCAAAUUUUUAACAAAGAACAUAGUAAUUUACCUCUAUUUACAUCAAAAUGCAGGCAAUGGCCCAGGUGUUCUUUGUAAAAUUAUUUACAAAACACUGUAUAGUCUCACAAAUGUCACUUUUUAUUUAUGCCACUACAAAAAAACAUGAUGUAAAUGAUGCAUGAUGUAAAACAUGAUGUAAAAAACUUGUGUAGAUCCUCCUCUAUGUUAGUCCAUGUGUAAUUUUUCCAUAAUUCUUUGUUUUUUGCAGCAUUUUUGUUAGUGUAACUGCAGAUUGUGCUGACAGUGUCUAUGGCAAAAAAAAAAAAAAAAAAACUGAAAAUGCCUCAACAUGAACCCCUGGUGGUCUCUGAGGGUGAAACCUGCUAACUGCUGCAGCUCUGUCAGCUUCAGUCUCCCAUGCAGAGCUCGGAGCGCAUGUGUGGCUCUGCACCCUUAGCAGCGUUGCUAACUCCUCAGUAAGGAAAGCCUGCUUCAUGUCAGAGUCUCUAAACUCCAGAAGAAGUCGAUAAAAGUCACUUUCUUUCUAAAAAAAAGUCGUUAGGGGGUCUGAAAAGUCAUUGAAUCUAACAACAAAGUCGCUAGGUUUGCAACUACGUGUCCCAGACUGCAUCCC